CUCAUUAUUGGGGAAGGGAUUUAUUGGAUGCUGUUCCAGUUUGACUGCUAGGAGAGAAAACCUAUUCGUAUGGUUCCUAUUCAACUGUCUACAGCAUUCAUAUGCUUGGGAGAAUUUAUUUAUUUGUUUCUCCGGUUUGGUGAUUGUGGUGUCUGCCAGAGUGCUUGGAGUCCUCAGGAAGCGCUAGGAGCAUCCUUCAACGGAGGUAGCCAGUCGGGGUGCCAGGCGAUCCGUUACAAUGG
Pelobates cultripes (western spadefoot toad) is the source of this 242-nucleotide non-coding RNA. The record is from the annotation of a GenBank genome assembly. Lineage: Eukaryota; Metazoa; Chordata; Amphibia; Anura; Pelobatidae.